GAUGAACGCUGGCGGCGUGCCUAAUACAUGCAAGUCGAGCGAACAGAUAAGGAGCUUGCUCCUUUGACGUUAGCGGCGGACGGGUGAGUUACACGUGGAUAACCUACCUCUAAGACUGGGAUAACUUCGGGAAACCGGAGCUAAUACCGGAUAACAUAUUGAACCGCAUUGUUCAAUAGUGAAAGGCGGCUUUGCUGUCACUUAUAGAUGGAUCCGCGCCGUAUUAGCUAGUUGGUAAGGUAACGGCUUACCAAGGCAACGAUACGUAGCCGACCUGAGAGGGUGAUCGGCCACACUGGAACUGAGACACGGUCCAGACUCCUACGGGAGGCAGCAGUAGGGAAUCUUCCGCAAUGGGCGAAAGCCUGACGGAGCAACGCCGCGUGAGUGAUGAAGGUCUUCGGAUCGUAAAACUCUGUUAUCAGGGAAGAACAAAUGUGUAAGUAACUGUGCACAUCUUGACGGUACCUGAUCAGAAAGCCACGGCUAACUACGUG
RNAcentral lists this ribosomal RNA (497 nucleotides) under uncultured bacterium. Its description in RNAcentral is "partial 16S ribosomal RNA". It matches the Rfam family "Bacterial small subunit ribosomal RNA", at positions 28 to 507 of the family's 1533-position model. The record is from RNAcentral.